GGGGAUACAGCUCAGUUGGUAGAGUGCUUGCCUUGCAUGCACAAGGUCCUGGGUUCAAUCCCCAGCACCACCA
RNAcentral lists this transfer RNA (73 nucleotides) under Ictidomys tridecemlineatus (thirteen-lined ground squirrel). RNAcentral's name for it is "Spermophilus tridecemlineatus (thirteen-lined ground squirrel) tRNA". It matches the Rfam family "tRNA". From Rfam's summary of the family: Transfer RNA (tRNA) molecules are approximately 80 nucleotides in length. Their secondary structure includes four short double-helical elements and three loops (D, anti-codon, and T loops). Further hydrogen bonds mediate the characteristic L-shaped molecular structure. tRNAs have two regions of fundamental functional importance: the anti-codon, which is responsible for specific mRNA codon recognition, and the 3' end, to which the tRNAs corresponding amino acid is attached (by aminoacyl-tRNA synthetases). tRNAs cope with the degeneracy of the genetic code in two manners: having more than one tRNA (with a specific anti-codon) for a particular amino acid; and 'wobble' base-pairing, i.e. permitting non-standard base-pairing at the 3rd anti-codon position. Lineage: Eukaryota; Metazoa; Chordata; Mammalia; Rodentia; Sciuridae. The record is from Rfam by way of RNAcentral.